UCUGCAAUUUUCAUCCUCUUCCAUGCAUCAUAAUAUUUACAGCACUCACAUCAACCAGCACCAACCAUCUAAAUCCAUUUUACAUACAAUAAUUCUUAGUGAACUGACAGGCCUCAUCUCUACAGUGAUACAUGGCAAAUUGGUUGCUGUUCCAGCCUGCCAGCUACUUCAACAGAGAAAUCAUGCUGUGCUCUAUGAGAUGAGACCAUGAACGCUACUAUUUUGGCUUUGGCUUUUCUUCCCUGCCCGUGCAAGCCGAGACAGGCCAAAUCAAAUCCAUUAUUAACAGAGCUAAGAACAAGAAAAGAGUAGAAAUGGUACCUUAGCUUGGCGCCGUGCAGUUGUUUCUCUGGAGAACAGGUACGGCAGGAGGUAUCCUGGGGUCAAAGGAGAUCUGCGACAGGAGGGGUAUCGAACUUUGGGGCCGCUGGGUACUGGGUAACCUAGCUCCUGAACGCGAGGAUGAGACUGGGGGGAACCGGCUGCACAGGGAUGUUUGAAGAGUUUGGCAUCAACGACCGAUUUGUUUCCCUCCUGGCGUCACCGCGUCAGCAACCAACACGGAGUUGCUGGACCAGCAAACCCCUAGCUCGUGGAGAACGAAAUGAAUGGGGAGGGGCCAGACGGGAAGAAAGAAGUUCAUCCUACUUAUGUAGUGGCAGGCGCGGGUAAAUACAUGGUCUAUUGUCUCCGUUGGGGCAUGAGCAACAUGGGCUAACAGAUGCCAGUGAUCUCAAGGAAGAGAUGGUUCCAUGUAAAUGAGGUACUACCAGAGCACCUAAAGUCACAACGCUGGGAUCAGAUCUUAUAGGUUAUAAAAUCUGUCAUGAUGAUUAGCAGUUUUUCCAAAUAAUCACACGAGAAGACAUGCCUAUCAACAGGUUUUCCAAACAAUAACAAAGGAAGACAUGAUACUUGUAGCUUCUAGCUUAAAAUGAUCUCAC
This 944-nucleotide long non-coding RNA is filed under the name Setaria italica (foxtail millet). RNAcentral describes it as "long non-coding RNA (SITA_LNC007503)". Lineage: Eukaryota; Viridiplantae; Streptophyta; Magnoliopsida; Poales; Poaceae. The record is from RNAcentral.